Molecule: long non-coding RNA, 567 nt
Filed under: Citrus sinensis (sweet orange)
Lineage: Eukaryota; Viridiplantae; Streptophyta; Magnoliopsida; Sapindales; Rutaceae
Description: long non-coding RNA (CSIN_LNC004304)
Source: RNAcentral
CAGUGUCUAUGGAGGUGUUUCCUAUAUGUGAAAUAUUAAGACAAUCACCAUUUCCAACAACAAUGGCAUCAUUCCCUUCAUAAGGUUUAAGUUCAGAAAUUUUACCUGGAUCAUUGACCAUAUGGGUAGUUGCUCCUGAGUCAGCAUAUAAUUUGGCAUCAUUUGCAUCCAGGUUCAUUGCAGCUAAGGCUUGUGGAAUUUCCUCAGUAAGAUGUGAGUAGUCAUACCUACAUCGACAUUCAAUGGUUGUAUGUUUCGGUAAAUGACAAAUUUGACAUAUGACAGUUUCUUCAUUGACUUCCUCAGCUUGUUGUUUGGAUUGAUUCUGAAUUUUCUGCCAAGGCUGUCCAGAAUUAUUUUGCCGAGGUUGCUGCCACUGUUGUCCCGAGUUUCCUUACCAUGAUUGUUGCCCUUGUUGACUUGGAUUAUUGUUUGAUUUUUGCCAUGACUGACUUGCAUUAUUAUUCCAACUUUUUCCACCAUUGUAGUUGAUUUUUUGACCACUUGAAUCAGCCAAAUUUUGUCCUCCUGCUGCUGUAAAACCACGACCUUUUGAGUUAAAGAAAC